GCUGUAGUAGUGUAGUGGUUAUCAUUCUAGCCUUCCACCUCUUUGGAGCAAGCUUGAGACCGGCGUUCGAUUCGCCGUUACAGCA
Molecule: non-coding RNA, 85 nt
Organism: Astrocystis sublimbata
Lineage: Eukaryota; Fungi; Ascomycota; Sordariomycetes; Xylariales; Xylariaceae
Source: the annotation of a GenBank genome assembly